CCUACGGGAGGCAGUAGUGAGGAAUAUUGGUCAAUGGACGAGAGUCUGAACCAGCCAAGUAGCGUGAAGGAUGACUGCCCUAUGGGUUGUAAACUUCUUUUAUAUGGGAAUAAAACGUUCCACGUGUGGGAUUUUGUAUGUACCAUAUGAAUAAGGAUCGGCUAACUCCGUGCCAGCAGCCGCGGUAAUACGGAGGAUCCGAGCGUUAUCCGGAUUUAUUGGGUUUAAAGGGAGCGUAGGUGGAUUGUUAAGUCAGUUGUGAAAGUUUGCGGCUCAACCGUAAAAUUGCAGUUGAAACUGGCAGUCUUGAGUACAGUAGAGGUAGGCGGAAUUCGUGGUGUAGCGGUGAAAUGCUUAGAUAUCACGAAGAACUCCGAUUGCGAAGGCAGUUCACUGGACUGCAACUGACACUGAGGCUCGAAAGUGUGGGUAUCAAACAGGAUUAGAUACCCGUGUAGUC
RNAcentral lists this ribosomal RNA (460 nucleotides) under uncultured bacterium. Its description in RNAcentral is "partial 16S ribosomal RNA". It matches the Rfam family "Bacterial small subunit ribosomal RNA", at positions 338 to 795 of the family's 1533-position model. The record is from RNAcentral.